Molecule: long non-coding RNA, 308 nt
Filed under: Chinchilla lanigera (long-tailed chinchilla)
Lineage: Eukaryota; Metazoa; Chordata; Mammalia; Rodentia; Chinchillidae
Description: lncRNA (ENSCLAG00000025979.1)
Source: RNAcentral
AGCCUGCCAAGUACUCUGCCUUUGUACUUCCCCGUGCAGACCCCAUGAAAACCACCCUCCUCAAGCCUUUAGGGCCUGAUAUGUGGGGAAUGAGCCCAAUCAGUGCCCACUGACAUAAUUAAUCUGUCUCCAAAGACUGGGUGUCAUUUCAGUGUUAUUGCUUGUCCUUGCUUCUGGUGCAUCGGCCAGGAACACCAACUGUGCUGAUCUCCUUCAUCACCAAUUGUAGCCCUUAUGGAUGGAGCAAAGACAUCUACAGGUUCUUACAGUAGGGAGAAACUGCCAAAAUACACCUCUCCUGCCUGUAA